GACGAACCGUGCGAACGUUGUUCGGAUUCACUGGGCUUAAAGGGCGCGUAGGCGGGCCCUCAAGUCAGGGGUGAAAUCCUCCGGCUCAACCGGAGAACUGCUUCUGAGACUGAGGACCUGGAGGGGGAUAGGGGCGGACGGAACUUCCGGUGGAGCGGUGAAAUGCGUAGAUAUCGGAAGGAACGCCGGUGGCGAAAGCGGUCCGCUGGAUCCCUUCUGACGCUGAGGCGCGAAAGCCAGGGGAGCGAACGGG
This 253-nucleotide ribosomal RNA is filed under the name uncultured bacterium. Its description in RNAcentral is "partial 16S ribosomal RNA". It matches the Rfam family "Bacterial small subunit ribosomal RNA", at positions 524 to 776 of the family's 1533-position model. The record is from RNAcentral.